Molecule: ribosomal RNA, 502 nt
Filed under: Pseudo-nitzschia cf. arenysensis
Lineage: Eukaryota; Bacillariophyta; Bacillariophyceae; Bacillariales; Bacillariaceae
Description: partial large subunit ribosomal RNA
Rfam family: Eukaryotic large subunit ribosomal RNA
Source: RNAcentral
AAGAACUAACUAGGAUUCCCUCAGUAACGGCGAGUGAAGCGGGACUAGCUCAGGAUGUGAAUCUGCGCUGUAUGGCGCCGAAUUGUGGUCUAUAGACUUUGACGUUAUCUGCCGGGCCAAGUUCCUUGGAAAAGGACAGCUGAGAGGGUGAGACUCCCGUCCGCCUGGUAGAGUGAGUCGUUGUCAACGAGUCGAGUUGUUUGGGAUUGCAGCUCUAAUUUGGUGGUAAAUUCCAUCUAAAGCUAAAUAUUGGUGGGAGACCGAUAGCGUACAAGUACCGUGAGGGAAAGAUGCAAAGAACUUUGAAAAGAGAGUUAAAGAGUACCUGAAAUUGCUGAAACGGAAGCGAAGGAAACCAGUGUUUGUUGGUUCAUAUUUCCCUGGCCACUUGUGGUUUGGGCGCUGUGAGCUUGCGUGGGUUUGCUUUGGUUGAUCCCUUUGGAAGAGCGCAGUCAGAGUUGAUGUCUGUUGCUAGCACUGGGUUUGACUAAUGCAGACGAAA